CCUACGGGUGGCAGCAGUGGGGAAUAUUGGACAAUGGGGGGAACGCUGAUCCAGCGACGCCGCGUGAGUGAAGAAGUAUUUCGGUAUGUAAAGCUCUAUCAGCAGGGAAGAAAGAAAUGACGGUACCUGACUAAGAAGCCCAGGCUAACUACGUGCCAGCAGCCGCGGUAAUACGUAGGGGGCAAGCGUUAUCCGGAUGUACUGGGUGUAAAGGGAUCCUAGACGGUUACGCAAGUCUGGAGUGAAAGGCGGGGGCCCAACCCCCGGACUGCUUUGGAAACUGUAUAACUGGAGUGCAGGAGAGGUAAGCGGAAUUCCUAGUGUAGCGGUGAAAUGCGUAGAUAUUAGGAGGAACACCAGUGGCGAAGGCGGCGUACUGGACUGUAACUGACGUUGAGGCUCGAAAGCGUGGGGAGCGAACAGGAUUAGAUACCCUUGUAGUC
RNAcentral lists this ribosomal RNA (443 nucleotides) under uncultured bacterium. RNAcentral's name for it is "partial 16S ribosomal RNA". It matches the Rfam family "Bacterial small subunit ribosomal RNA", at positions 338 to 795 of the family's 1533-position model. The record is from RNAcentral.